RNAcentral lists this long non-coding RNA (1253 nucleotides) under Manihot esculenta (cassava). RNAcentral describes it as "long non-coding RNA (MESC_LNC003247)". The record is from RNAcentral. Lineage: Eukaryota; Viridiplantae; Streptophyta; Magnoliopsida; Malpighiales; Euphorbiaceae.
AUAAGUUGGCUGAGGGUAUGAUAAAGCUGACUCUGCUCCUGAUAAGGGGUAAUAUGAAUAUGCAGGAGGAUAAUUUGUUGGAUAUGGCACCCCUUUAAAUUGGCUAUGGAACCCAUAAUUUGAUGAAGUAUCUUCAUAUGAUGAGCUACCACCAGGUCCACCACUAUACAUAAAAUUUGGAUUAUACGUGCCAGUGUCGUAUCCAUAAUUUAAUGAAUCAAUUGACUCCUCCUCAUAUGCAACACUCUUACCCCUUGUUUGGGAUGUUUCAGCACCACCAGUACCAGAACUAUGAGAGCCUCUUGAUCUUUGAUAUGUACGCAUUGGAGAUGGUUCAGAAGCAAUUCUAAUUCCACUUUGUCUUUGACUAGGUGGAUCUUGUGAACUACGACUACCACCUCCUUCAACUGUGGUUCCUUCUCCUUGAUCACCACCACCACCAUCAUCAUCACUACUAGAGCUGGAUAAAAUAAAAGAAUCAUCAUCACCAGCACCACCUUGUUGUCCUUGAGUUUGAGUGGCAGAUUCAGACUGUGAUGGAGCAUUACCCGCCUCUUCAUCAUCCAACCAUGGAUUUGGUUGCCCAUCAAGCAAUGGAGAUUCCCUUUCCUCCAACCAAGAGUUUAACAGAUCAUCUUCUUCAAAAAUAUAAUCCAAAUUAAUUGGAUUGUAACUCCUGUCUAACUCCUGUUGGCUUUGUCUUGUCACAUUUCUAAUUUUCAGCCUCAUGUUGUAGUGCACAAAGACAAGUGCAUGUAAUUUUUGAUACUUCAAUCUGUUUCUUGUCUUUGUGUGAAUGAGAGAAAAUGUGCUCCAAUUUCUCUCGCAGUUUGAAGCCGAAGUUGUUUGACUCAGUACUUUAAUAGCGAUUUUUCUCAACUCAGGAGCACUUUCUCCAUAAUUAAUCCACCACUCAACUGCAAAAUAUUUUUAAAUUUUUAUUAUUUUAAUGAAUGUAGUUAUAUAAAAAUGAAUGAACAAAAAUAAUUUAUACUUAUUUUAUAAACUUAGUACAUGGAUUAGUGAACUUAAUUGCUUUUUGCGCCAAAACUGUUUCAAAACUCUCUAUUUUGUCCCGAAAAAGUAAGGCCUACAUGUUCCAAAUUCCAGUAAGUUAACUUCAAGUUCAAAAGCAAUAGUUCAAGCUUCAAGCCUUCAACUACACUAACAUAGUAACACUUGAGAAUUAGCUUGUUACUUACUUGAUUUAAUGCUUUUCCUUGAUUUACUAAAUCCCCCUCUAGAUGUUGAAU